Molecule: ribosomal RNA, 244 nt
Filed under: uncultured bacterium
Lineage: Bacteria
Description: partial 16S ribosomal RNA
Rfam family: Bacterial small subunit ribosomal RNA
Source: RNAcentral
CGUGAGGCGGAGCAAAACACAAAACACAGUCUCAGUUCAGAUUGUAGGCUGAAACUCGCCUAUAUGAAGUCGGAAUUGCUAGUAAUCGCGGAUCAGCAUGCCGCGGUGAAUACGUUCCCGGGCCUUGUACACACCGCCCGUCACACCAUGAGAGUCGAUAACACCCGAAGCCUGUAGUCUAACAGCAAUGAGGACGCUGUCGAAGGUGGGAUUGAUAAUUAGGGUGAAGUCGUAACAAGGUACC